GGGCUUCUAACUCAGUGGUAGAGUGCUUGCUUAGCAUGGGUUUACAAUCAAUACGAUUUCCCUUCGCUUGCAUGAAGUCCAGGGUUCAAUUCCCUGGAAGUCCA
Tilletiaria anomala is the source of this 104-nucleotide transfer RNA. It matches the Rfam family "tRNA". Rfam says of the family: Transfer RNA (tRNA) molecules are approximately 80 nucleotides in length. Their secondary structure includes four short double-helical elements and three loops (D, anti-codon, and T loops). Further hydrogen bonds mediate the characteristic L-shaped molecular structure. tRNAs have two regions of fundamental functional importance: the anti-codon, which is responsible for specific mRNA codon recognition, and the 3' end, to which the tRNAs corresponding amino acid is attached (by aminoacyl-tRNA synthetases). tRNAs cope with the degeneracy of the genetic code in two manners: having more than one tRNA (with a specific anti-codon) for a particular amino acid; and 'wobble' base-pairing, i.e. permitting non-standard base-pairing at the 3rd anti-codon position. The record is from Rfam. Lineage: Eukaryota; Fungi; Basidiomycota; Exobasidiomycetes; Georgefischeriales; Tilletiariaceae.